RNAcentral lists this ribosomal RNA (439 nucleotides) under uncultured bacterium. RNAcentral's name for it is "partial 16S ribosomal RNA". It matches the Rfam family "Bacterial small subunit ribosomal RNA", at positions 339 to 795 of the family's 1533-position model. The record is from RNAcentral.
CUACGGGGGGCUGCAGUGAGGAAUAUUGGACAAUGGGGGAAACCCUGAUCCAGCAAUGCCGCGUGAAUGAAGAAGGCCUUCGGGUUGUAAAGUUCUUUCACUCGUGAAGAUAAUGACGGUAGCGAGAGAAGAAGCUCCGGCUAACUCUGUGCCAGCAGCCGCGGUAAGACAGAGGGAGCUAGCGUUGUUCGGAAUUACUGGGCGUAAAGGGUGCGUAGGCGGUUGUUUAAGUAAAGUGUUAAAGCCCUGGGCUCAACCCAGGAAUUGCGUUUUAAACUGGACAGCUGGAGUAUGAUAGAGGAAAGUGGAAUUCCUAGUGUAGAGGUGAAAUUCGUAGAUAUUAGGAGGAACACCAGAGGCGAAGGCGGCUUUCUGGAUCAUUACUGACGCUGAGGCACGAAAGCGUGGGGAGCAAACAGGAUUAGAUACCCUGGUAGUC